GAUGUACGCUGGCGGCGUGCCUAAUACAUGCAAGUCGAGCGAACAGACGAGGAGCUUGCUCCUCUGACGUUAGCGGCGGACGGGUGAGUAACACGUGGAUAACCUACCUAUAAGACUGGGAUAACUUCGGGAAACCGGAGCUAAUACCGGAUAAUAUAUUGAACCGCAUGGUUCAAUAGUGAAAGACGGUUUUGCUGUCACUUAUAGAUGGAUCCGCGCCGCAUUAGCCAGUUGGUAAGGUAACGGCUUACCAAGGGAACGAUGCGUAGCCGACCUGAGAGGGUGAUCGGCCACACUGGAACUGGGACACGGUCCAGACUCCUACGGGGGGCAGCAGUAGGGAAUCUUCCGCAAUGGGCGAAAGCUUGACGGAGCAACGCCGCGUGAGUGAUGAAGGUCUUCGGACCGUAAAACUCUGUUAUUAGGGAAAAACAAAUGUGUAAGUAACUAUGCACGUAUUGACGGUACCUAAUCAGAAAGCCACGGCUAACUACGUG
Molecule: ribosomal RNA, 497 nt
Filed under: uncultured bacterium
Lineage: Bacteria
Description: partial 16S ribosomal RNA
Rfam family: Bacterial small subunit ribosomal RNA
Source: RNAcentral